This is a long non-coding RNA of Microplitis demolitor, 772 nucleotides long. RefSeq lists it as uncharacterized. The record is from RefSeq and is a predicted model, not a curated record. The transcript has 5 exons. Lineage: Eukaryota; Metazoa; Arthropoda; Insecta; Hymenoptera; Braconidae.
GAAAAUAGACUAGGUUUUAAAUAGUGACGCUAAAAGCUGACGGUGACUUAGUCGUUGGGUGGAGGACUUGAUUAUUAAAUAGUUUUAAAUUUACGAAUUUUGCAAAGUAUUUUUUCAUAAUUUAUAUGGAAAAUAAAUUUUGAAUGAAUGAAAUGUCAUAUCGUGUUAAUAAAUUCAAAUAAUAUACCAUGGAGAGUGCUUGAUAAUUGCGAAAAACCUGGAUUAUCAUCAUAAUAAAUAUCGCGUGCAAAAUGCCAAAAUAUCUCCUCCCAAUAUGCUACGGUAUUCGAUUGCGUAUUCAUGCGUAUACGAAAAUAACGUUGGGAGUAAAAUCAAUAAGGCCCAUCGGCGCCCCGCAAGGUCGAGCAAGUUGAAAUAUCUCUGAAGAUACAUCGCUGCUGUUCGGGCAAAAUACGGAGGCGUGAAAAUAACUUAGUCAAUUGUACACCCAAUGAGUUCCAGAAAAAUAUUUGAUUUACAAACUUUCACUCGAGCGCUGCGACAUGGUCGCACAAGUCAGGGACGUCCUUGUCUUGCAAAAGAAGACGCGGCUCGGAUAUUAGUAAUGUUUGUGUGAGGUUUAUGGUAAAGUAUUCAAGGAGCGAUCACUGCUAUUGCGUCAACAAGUACAAAGUAACGUCUACAUGCUUGAAUGAAUACUCGAUGAAAUCGUCAUCGAGGUAAAGGUGGACAAUUUUAAAUGAAAAGGGAGUGAUGAACUAAAACAUGAUGAUAUAUCUUUUAAUUCAUCAUAUAAAAAGAUAAAGAUGCA